CGCCCCUGCGAGGAAGACCCUCCCCAGAGGCUCUGGUUAACCCGAAGCCUUGUGGCGGAGUGGGGGGGGUGGAGUUGGACCCCUGCCUCCCCUAGACUGCAAGGGGGGGCAUUUGCAAGGUUUCCCUGCCCUUCUGAGGGCGAGAACUGUAGACAGUCUCCUCCUGAGGGAAGAUUUGUCUUGAGAAGAUUACUGGGUCAUCCAUGGCAACCUGAGAGAAAUCCCACAAGGAGUGUGGCUCUGCUCUGUUCCAUUUUGCAGGAAGGCAUGAGGAAGAAAGAACAGAGACUCUGUCUUCAACUCCAGUUCCACAGUUCCAGCAUGGAUGUCUGCCCUACAUUGUCUCAUCUGUAGUGAAAACAGGUGAGAAGAAUUCACUCAUAUACCUUCUGGACUGCAAGGAGAACAAACCUAUCAAUUCUAAAGGAAAUCAACCCUGAGUG
This is a long non-coding RNA of Pogona vitticeps (central bearded dragon), 443 nucleotides long. RefSeq lists it as uncharacterized. The record is from RefSeq and is a predicted model, not a curated record. NCBI's taxonomy places the organism in Eukaryota, Metazoa, Chordata, Lepidosauria, Squamata, Agamidae.